Molecule: long non-coding RNA, 360 nt
Filed under: Gallus gallus (chicken)
Lineage: Eukaryota; Metazoa; Chordata; Aves; Galliformes; Phasianidae
Source: RNAcentral
GGCCACUGGGGACGAGUCAGUCCAGCAGUGGUUCAGCCCUGUCCUCAAAGCUUCCUCUCUACCCAGGCACCAACUGGUCUCCGCUGCCACCUCGCCUGCUGUUUGUGCUCCCCUACAAAACAGGCUUUAUUUAUCCCUGCUGUUCAGCUGGACCUCUUCGAGUGAUUCCUUUCGCAUGCUUAAACCCUUGUGUACACUGGAUGAAUGUGUCAGACAUCAAGCACAGACCUCGGCCCUGGCAGACUGACCUUAUCAUCAGUGUAACUUGCCUGACUUCAGCAGUGAAUCCCCUGACAGCAUUGUGGUCACUGUCACAGUCCCAUAAUGUUUGGCGCACUCUGCAAGCUGGAGUCCCCCAAG